This 160-nucleotide ribosomal RNA is filed under the name uncultured Lactobacillus sp. RNAcentral describes it as "partial 16S ribosomal RNA". It matches the Rfam family "Bacterial small subunit ribosomal RNA", at positions 355 to 507 of the family's 1533-position model. Lineage: Bacteria; Bacillati; Bacillota; Bacilli; Lactobacillales; Lactobacillaceae. The record is from RNAcentral.
UAGGGAAUCUUCCACAAUGGACGCAAGUCUGAUGGAGCAACGCCGCGUGAGUGAAGAAGGUUUUCGGAUCGUAAAGCUCUGUUGUUGGUGAAGAAGGAUAGAGGUAGUAACUGGCCUUUAUUUGACGGUAAUCACCCAGAAAGUCACGGCUAACUACGUG